UGUGUGUGUGUGUGUGUGUGUGUAUAUAUAUAUAUAUAUAUAUAUACACACACACAUAUACAUAUAUA
Molecule: non-coding RNA, 68 nt
Organism: Podarcis lilfordi (Lilford's wall lizard)
Lineage: Eukaryota; Metazoa; Chordata; Lepidosauria; Squamata; Lacertidae
Source: the annotation of a GenBank genome assembly